RNAcentral lists this ribosomal RNA (424 nucleotides) under uncultured bacterium. Its description in RNAcentral is "partial 16S ribosomal RNA". It matches the Rfam family "Bacterial small subunit ribosomal RNA", at positions 360 to 776 of the family's 1533-position model. The record is from RNAcentral.
AAUAUUGGACAAUGGGCGAAAGCCUGAUCCAGCCAUGCCGCGUGGGUGAAGAAGGCCUUCGGGUAGUAAAGCUCUUUUGCUGGGAAAGAAAAGCAGUCGUUUAAAACACGGUUGUUAUAACGGUACCUAAAGAAAAAGUACCGGCUAACGUCGUGCCAGCACCCGCGGUAAUACGAAGGGUGCAAGCGUUACUCGGAAUUACUGGGCGUAAAGCGUGCGUAGGUGGUUCGUUAAGUCUGAUGUGAAAGCCCUGGGCUCAACCUGAGAAUUGCACUGGAUACUGGCGGGCUGGAGUACGGUAGAGGGUGGCGGAAUUCCUGGUGUAGCAGUGAAAUGCGUAGAUAUCAGGAGGAACAUCCGUGGCGAAGGCGGCCACCUGGACCAGUACUGACACUGAGGCACGAAAGCGUGGGGAGCAAACAGG